UACGGAGGGUGCAAGCGUUAUCCGGAUUUACUGGGUUUAAAGGGUGCGUAGGUGGGUCUGUAAGUCCGUGGUGAAAUCUCCGAGCUUAACUUGGAAACUGCCAUGGAUACUAUAGGUCUUGAAUACUGUGGAGGUCAGCGGAAUAUGUCAUGUAGCGGUGAAAUGCUUAGAUAUGACAUAGAACACCAAUUGCGAAGGCAGCUGGCUACACAAAUAUUGACACUGAGGCACGAAAGCGUGGGGAUCAAACAGG
RNAcentral lists this ribosomal RNA (253 nucleotides) under uncultured bacterium. RNAcentral's name for it is "partial 16S ribosomal RNA". It matches the Rfam family "Bacterial small subunit ribosomal RNA", at positions 524 to 776 of the family's 1533-position model. The record is from RNAcentral.